GUGAGGAAUUUUCCGCAAUGGGCGAAAGCCUGACGGAGCAAUGCCGCGUGAAGGAUGAAGGCCUAUGGGUUAUAAACUUCUUUUCUCAGAAAAGAAUUAUGACGGUAUCUGAGGAAUAAGCAUCGGCUAACUCUGUGCCAGCAGCCGCGGUAAGACAGAGGAUGCAAGCGUUAUCCGGAAUGAUUGGGCGUAAAGCGUCUGUAGGUUGUUUAAAAAGUAUUCUGUCAAAGAUUAGGGCUUAACCCUAGAUAGACAGAAUAAACUUUUAAGCUAGAGUUUGGUAGAAGCAGAGGGAAUUCCCGGUGGAGCGGUGAAAUGCGUAGAUAUCGGGAGGAACACCAAAGGCGAAGGCACUCUGCUGGGCCAAUACUAACACUGAGAGACGAAAGCGAGGGGAGCAAAUGGGAUUAGAAACCCGUGUAGUCC
This 426-nucleotide ribosomal RNA is filed under the name uncultured bacterium. Its description in RNAcentral is "partial 16S ribosomal RNA". It matches the Rfam family "Bacterial small subunit ribosomal RNA", at positions 354 to 796 of the family's 1533-position model. The record is from RNAcentral.